This 253-nucleotide ribosomal RNA is filed under the name uncultured bacterium. RNAcentral's name for it is "partial 16S ribosomal RNA". It matches the Rfam family "Bacterial small subunit ribosomal RNA", at positions 524 to 776 of the family's 1533-position model. The record is from RNAcentral.
UACGGAGGGCGCGAGCGUUGCUCGGAUUUACUGGGCGUAAAGGGUGUGUAGGCGGUUUGGGGAGUCACAUGUGAAAGGCCAUUGCUCAACCGAGGAACUGCGUUGGAUACUGUCUAGCUAGAGGGUGGGAGAGGGUGGUGGAAUUCCCGGAGUAGCGGUGAAAUGCGUAGAUACCGGGAGGAACGCCGGUGGCGAAGGCAGCUUCCUGGCUGGUUUCUGACGAUGAUGCGCGAAAGCGAGGGGAGCAAACGGG